RNAcentral lists this transfer RNA (67 nucleotides) under Toxocara canis (dog roundworm). It matches the Rfam family "tRNA". From Rfam's summary of the family: Transfer RNA (tRNA) molecules are approximately 80 nucleotides in length. Their secondary structure includes four short double-helical elements and three loops (D, anti-codon, and T loops). The record is from Rfam by way of RNAcentral. Lineage: Eukaryota; Metazoa; Nematoda; Chromadorea; Rhabditida; Toxocaridae.
GGAGUAGUAGCUCAGUGGUACAGCCCCCGCCUCUUAUGAGGGAAGACCUGGAUUCGAUUCCCGGCUA